Molecule: ribosomal RNA, 460 nt
Filed under: uncultured bacterium
Lineage: Bacteria
Description: partial 16S ribosomal RNA
Rfam family: Bacterial small subunit ribosomal RNA
Source: RNAcentral
CCUACGGGGGGCAGCAGUGAGGAAUAUUGGUCAAUGGACGAGAGUCUGAACCAGCCAAGUAGCGUGAAGGAUGACUGCCCUAUGGGUUGUAAACUUCUUUUAUAUGGGAAUAAAAUGUUCCACGUGUGGGAUUUUGUAUGUACCAUAUGAAUAAGGAUCGGCUAACUCCGUGCCAGCAGCCGCGGUAAUACGGAGGAUCCGAGCGUUAUCCGGAUUUAUUGGGUUUAAAGGGAGCGUAGGUGGAUUGUUAAGUCAGUUGUGAAAGUUUGCGGCUCAACCGUAGAAUUGCAGUUGAAACUGGCAGUCUUGAGUACAGUAGAGGUGGGCGGAAUUCGUGGUGUAGCGGUGAAAUGCUUAGAUAUCACGAAGAACUCCGAUUGCGAAGGCAGUUCACUGGACUGCAACUGACACUGAGGCUCGAAAGUGUGGGUAUCAAACAGGAUUAGAUACCCGAGUAGUC